RNAcentral lists this ribosomal RNA (575 nucleotides) under Bacillus pumilus. Its description in RNAcentral is "bacterial SSU rRNA". It matches the Rfam family "Bacterial small subunit ribosomal RNA", at positions 565 to 1140 of the family's 1533-position model. The record is from RNAcentral. Lineage: Bacteria; Bacillati; Bacillota; Bacilli; Caryophanales; Bacillaceae.
GGGCUCGCAGGCGGUUUCUUAAGUCUGAUGUGAAAGCCCCCGGCUCAACCGGGGAGGGUCAUUGGAAACUGGGAAACUUGAGUGCAGAAGAGGAGAGUGGAAUUCCACGUGUAGCGGUGAAAUGCGUAGAGAUGUGGAGGAACACCAGUGGCGAAGGCGACUCUCUGGUCUGUAACUGACGCUGAGGAGCGAAAGCGUGGGGAGCGAACAGGAUUAGAUACCCUGGUAGUCCACGCCGUAAACGAUGAGUGCUAAGUGUUAGGGGGUUUCCGCCCCUUAGUGCUGCAGCUAACGCAUUAAGCACUCCGCCUGGGGAGUACGGUCGCAAGACUGAAACUCAAAGGAAUUGACGGGGGCCCGCACAAGCGGUGGAGCAUGUGGUUUAAUUCGAAGCAACGCGAAGAACCUUACCAGGUCUUGACAUCCUCUGACAACCCUAGAGAUAGGGCUUUCCCUUCGGGGACAGAGUGACAGGUGGUGCAUGGUUGUCGUCAGCUCGUGUCGUGAGAUGUUGGGUUAAGUCCCCGCACGAGCGCAACCCUUGAUCUUAGUUGCCAGCAUUCAGUUGGGCACUC